RNAcentral lists this small nuclear RNA (295 nucleotides) under Callithrix jacchus (white-tufted-ear marmoset). RNAcentral describes it as "7SK RNA". It matches the Rfam family "7SK RNA". From Rfam's summary of the family: 7SK was discovered as an abundant small nuclear RNA in the mid-70s but a possible function has only recently been suggested. Lineage: Eukaryota; Metazoa; Chordata; Mammalia; Primates; Cebidae. The record is from Rfam by way of RNAcentral.
GUGAGAGUGAUCUGCCUGCAGCAUCUGUCACCCUGUGGGUACUCAGGGAGUAUAUGACUGAUACAGCUGGCUAGGCAGGUUUCUACUUCUUUCCACAUGCUACACAGGGAUCUCACCAAAGCUGAGCCCUUGAUGGAAGAGUGAACACUGCAGGUAGAGGUGGUAAGAAUCCUUCUUGUUACAAUCUUAAGUCAUUUGAGUUCUCUAAGUUCAAUUUUUUUUCUGAAGAAGAAUGAAACACAUAAUAACAAUAUCUCCCAUUUUGAAAAUUAAGUGAGGUAGUGUAUGUGAAAAU